This 1375-nucleotide ribosomal RNA is filed under the name metagenome. RNAcentral describes it as "bacterial LSU rRNA". It matches the Rfam family "Bacterial large subunit ribosomal RNA", at positions 1414 to 2790 of the family's 2925-position model. The record is from RNAcentral.
CUUGAUGGGAAACAGGUCAAUAUUCCUGUACCGAUGUGUAGUGCGAUGUGGGGACGAAGAAGGUUAGCUCAGCCGGGUGUUGGAUGUCCCGGUUCAAGCCUGUAGUCGUGCCUGGUAGGUAAAUCCGCCGGGCUUAGAUGAGAGGUGAUAACGAGGCGGCUUGCCGUCGAAGUGAGCGAUACCCUGCUUCCAGGAAAAGCCACUAAGCUCCAGCUACACACGACCGUACCGCAAACCGACACUGGUGCGCGAGAUGAGUAUUCUCAGGCGCUUGAGAGAACUCUGGAGAAGGAACUCGGCAAAUUGACACCGUAACUUCGGAAGAAGGUGUGCCUUUAGUAGGUGAAGUCGUACAGACGGAGCCCAAUGAGGCCGCAGAGAAUCGGUGGCUGCGACUGUUUAUUAAAAACACAGCACUCUGCAAAGACGAAAGUCGACGUAUAGGGUGUGACCCUGCCCGGUGCUGGAAGAUUAAAUGAUGGGGUGCAAGCUCUUGAUUGAAGUCCCAGUAAACGGCGGCCGUAACGAUAACGGUCCUAAGGUAGCGAAAUUCCUUGUCGGGUAAGUUCCGACCCGCACGAAUGGCGUAACGAUGGCCACACUGUCUCCUCCAGAGACUCAGCGAAGUUGAAAUGUUUUGAUGAUGCAAUCUCCCCGCGGAAAGACGGAAAGACCCCAUGAACCUUUACUGCAGCUUUACAUUGGACUUUGAAUAGAUCUGUGUAGGAUAGGUGGGAGGCUUUGAAGCCGGGACGCUAGUCUUGGUGGAGCCAACGUUGAAAUACCACCCUGGUGUGUUUGAGGUUCUAACCUUGACCCAUUAUCUGGGUUGGGGACAGUGUAUGGUAGGCAGUUUGACUGGGGCGGUCUCCUCCCAAAGUGUAACGGAGGAGUUCGAAGGUACGCUAGGCACGGUCGGAAAUCGUGCUGAUAGUGCAUAGGCAUAAGCGUGCUUGACUGCGAGACUGACAAGUCGAGCAGGUACGAAAGUAGGACUAAGUGAUCCGGUGGUUCUGUAUGGAAGGGCCAUCGCUCAACGGAUAAAAGGUACUCUGGGGAUAACAGGCUGAUACCGCCCAAGAGUUCAUAUCGACGGCGGUGUUUGGCACCUCGAUGUCGGCUCAUCUCAUCCUGGGGCUGUAGCCGGUCCCAAGGGUAUGGCUGUUCGCCAUUUAAAGAGGUACGUGAGCUGGGUUUAAAACGUCGUGAGACAGUUUGGUCCCUAUCUUCCGUGGGCGCUGCAAGAUUGAGAGAGCCUGCUCCUAGUACGAGAGGACCGGAGUGGACGCACCUCCGGUGUAUCGGUUGUCACGCCAGUGGCAUUGCCGAGUAGCUAAGUGCGGAAGAGAUAACCGCUGAAAGCAUCUAAGUGAAU